This 788-nucleotide ribosomal RNA is filed under the name uncultured bacterium. RNAcentral's name for it is "bacterial SSU rRNA". It matches the Rfam family "Bacterial small subunit ribosomal RNA", at positions 8 to 796 of the family's 1533-position model. The record is from RNAcentral.
AGAGUUUGAUCAUGGCUCAGAACGAACGCUGGCGGCGUGCUUAACACAUGCAAGUCGAGUGCGCGUACCGUAGCAAUACGGUAUGGCGCACGGCGCACGGGUGCGUAACACGUGGGCAAUCUGCCCUUCGAUGGGGAAUAACUCGCCGAAAGGCGAGCUAAUUCCGCAUAACAUUCCUUGGACUGCGGUUCGAGGACUCAAAGCCGUAAGGCGUCGAAGGAGGAGCCCGCGCCCGAUUAGCUAGUUGGUGAGGUAACGGCUCACCAAGGCAAUGAUCGGUAGCUGGUCUGAGAGGAUGGCCAGCCACACUGGAACUGAGACACGGUCCAGACUCCUACGGGAGGCAGCAGUGGGGAAUCUUGCGCAAUGGGCGAAAGCCUGACGCAGCGACGCCGCGUGGGGGAUGAAGCAUUUCGGUGUGUAAACCCCUUUCGACUGGGACGAAUGCCUCGCAAGAGGAGUGACGGUACCAGUAGAAGAAGCCCCGGCUAACUACGUGCCAGCAGCCGCGGUAAGACGUAGGGGGCCAGCGUUGUUCGGAAUUACUGGGUGUAAAGGGUUCGUAGGCGGUGCGGCAAGUUGGGAGUGAAAUCUCUGGGCUUAACCCAGAGGCUGCUUCCAAAACUGCUGUGCUUGAGUGUGGGAGAGGCGCGUGGAAUUGCAGGUGUAGCGGUGAAAUGCGUAGAUAUCUGCAGGAACACCCGUGGCGAAAGCGGCGCGCUGGACCACAACUGACGCUGAGGAACGAAAGCUAGGGGAGCAAACAGGAUUAGAUACCCUAGUAGUCC